This 777-nucleotide ribosomal RNA is filed under the name Triticum aestivum (bread wheat). RNAcentral's name for it is "partial small subunit ribosomal RNA". The record is from RNAcentral. Lineage: Eukaryota; Viridiplantae; Streptophyta; Magnoliopsida; Poales; Poaceae.
AUGGCGCUCUCCAAGCACACCCUCGCCAUGUUCUUUGCCCUGCUGGCCAUCGCAGCGACGCUGCAGCCGUCCGAUGCGAGGCUCCGGUCCGCCGCCGCAAACCAAGAAGAAGUCAAAGCCACCACCACGGCCGAUGGAGACGCCCCGUCUCUUCCGAACCUGCCAUUGCCUCAGAUUCCCGGCGUGCCUAGCCUACCACCGCUAUUCCGCUUCCUUUUCCCGCCACUCCCAGGUGCUCCUCCGUCUCAAAUACCUCAGAUCCCCGGCAUGCCUAGCCUACCACCAAUAUUCCGCUCUCUCUUCCCGCCACUGCCCCAGAUCCCUGCCUUGCCGCCGCUGUUCGGCCCACUCCCUGUUGCACCGCCGGCUCAAGGAUUGCCUCAGACCCCCGGCAUGCCACACUUCCCACCAAGCACCGGAUCGCCUUCACCACCGCCACCAAAGGAGUGCCUGACACCGCUGACGGCCAUGAUACCGUGCAUGGACUACCUCAGCAACAUCACGGUGUUCUCGCCGCCGGGCUCAUGCUGUGAUGGCCUCAAGUCGGUUGUCAAUACCGCACCGAUCUGUCUGUGCCACGGCAUGAACAACAAUGGCGGCAUGAGCAAGCUCUUCCCCAAGCCCAUCGAUCCGAUCCGCAUGCUCAUCCUCCCGGCUAGGUGUGGCGCCAUGAUACCCAUCCAGACGAUCUUCUCUUGCGCCACCCAACCAUUGCCACCGUUGACGCCUCCUGCCACGUCUCCAGCGCCUGCUGCUUCUCCCGCGCCAUCACCAUAG